RNAcentral lists this ribosomal RNA (468 nucleotides) under uncultured bacterium. Its description in RNAcentral is "partial 16S ribosomal RNA". It matches the Rfam family "Bacterial small subunit ribosomal RNA", at positions 28 to 507 of the family's 1533-position model. The record is from RNAcentral.
GACGAACGCUGGCGGCGUGCUUAACACAUGCAAGUCGAACGGAAAGGCCCUGCUUUUGUGGGGUGCUCGAGUGGCGAACGGGUGAGUAACACGUGAGUAACCUGCCCUUGACUUUGGGAUAACUUCAGGAAACUGGGGCUAAUACCGGAUAGGAGCUCCUGCUGCAUGGUGGGGGUUGGAAAGUUUCGGCGGUUGGGGAUGGACUCGCGGCUUAUCAGCUUGUUGGUGGGGUAGUGGCUUACCAAGGCUUUGACGGGUAGCCGGCCUGAGAGGGUGACCGGCCACAUUGGGACUGAGAUACGGCCCAGACUCCUACGGGAGGCAGCAGUGGGGAAUAUUGCACAAUGGGCGGAAGCCUGAUGCAGCAACGCCGCGUGCGGGAUGACGGCCUUCGGGUUGUAAACCGCUUUCGCCUGUGACGAAGCGCGAGUGACGGUAAUGGGUAAAGAAGCACCGGCUAACCACGUG